RNAcentral lists this transfer RNA (27 nucleotides) under Ursus arctos isabellinus (Himalayan brown bear). RNAcentral describes it as "partial tRNA-Thr". The record is from RNAcentral. Lineage: Eukaryota; Metazoa; Chordata; Mammalia; Carnivora; Ursidae.
CGGAGAAUAUCUACCCUCCCUAAGACU